GCCUAACUGGCUCAGUCAGUAGAGCAUGUGACCCUUAAUCUCAGAGUCAUGAGUUCAAGCCCCACUUUGGGCA
Molecule: transfer RNA, 73 nt
Filed under: Canis lupus familiaris (dog)
Lineage: Eukaryota; Metazoa; Chordata; Mammalia; Carnivora; Canidae
Also listed under: 2 other names
Rfam family: tRNA
About the family: Transfer RNA (tRNA) molecules are approximately 80 nucleotides in length. Their secondary structure includes four short double-helical elements and three loops (D, anti-codon, and T loops).
Source: Rfam by way of RNAcentral